UGGGGAAUAUUGCACAAUGGGCGCAAGCCUGAUGCAGCCAUGCCGCGUGUGUGAAGAAGGCCUUCGGGUUGUAAAGCACUUUCAGCGAGGAGGAAAGGUGGUGAGCUUAAUACGCUCAUCAAUUGACGUUACUCGCAGAAGAAGCACCGGCUAACUCCGUGCCAAGCAGCCGCGGUAAUACGGAGGGUAGCAAGCGUUAAUCGGAAUUACUGGGCGUAAAGCGCACGCAGGCGGUUUGUUAAGUCAGAUGUGAAAUCCCCGGGCUCAACCUGGGAACUGCAUUUGAAACUGGCAAGCUAGAGUCUCGUAGAGGGGGGUAGAAUUCCAGGUGUAGCGGUGAAAUGCGUAGAGAUCUGGAGGAAUACCGGUGGCGAAGGCGCCCCCUGGANGAAGACUGACGCUCAGGUGCGAAAGCGU
This 417-nucleotide ribosomal RNA is filed under the name uncultured bacterium. RNAcentral describes it as "partial 16S ribosomal RNA". It matches the Rfam family "Bacterial small subunit ribosomal RNA", at positions 355 to 762 of the family's 1533-position model. The record is from RNAcentral.